CAGUAGCCGCGGGAAUACGUAGGGUGCAAGCGUUAAUCGGAAUUACUGGGCGUAAAGCGUGCGCAGGCGGUUAUAUAAGACAGAUGUGAAAUCCCCGGGCUCAACCUGGGAACUGCAUUUGUGACUGUAUAGCUAGAGUACGGCAGAGGGGGAUGGAAUUCCGCGUGUAGCAGUGAAAUGCGUAGAUAUGCGGAGGAACACCGAUGGCGAAGUCAAUCCCCUGGGCCUGUACUGACGCUCAUGCACGAAAGCGUGGGGAGCAAACAGGAUUAGAUACCCCCGUAGUCCCUGUCUCUUAUAC
This 301-nucleotide ribosomal RNA is filed under the name uncultured bacterium. RNAcentral's name for it is "partial 16S ribosomal RNA". It matches the Rfam family "Bacterial small subunit ribosomal RNA", at positions 509 to 807 of the family's 1533-position model. The record is from RNAcentral.